This 572-nucleotide ribosomal RNA is filed under the name Rhacophorus rhodopus. RNAcentral's name for it is "partial 16S ribosomal RNA". It matches the Rfam family "Bacterial large subunit ribosomal RNA", at positions 1807 to 2608 of the family's 2925-position model. The record is from RNAcentral. Lineage: Eukaryota; Metazoa; Chordata; Amphibia; Anura; Rhacophoridae.
CCAAAAACAUCGCCUCUUGACGAACUAUAAGAGGUCUAGCCUGCCCAGUGAUAAAUUCAACGGCCGCGGUAUCCUAACCGUGCGAAGGUAGCAUAAUCACUUGUUCUUUAAAUAGGGACUCGUAUCAACGGCAUCACGAGGGUUACACUGUCUCCUCCCUCCAAUCAGUGAAAUUGAUCUCCCCGUGAAGAAGCGGGGAUGAACUAAUAAGACGAGAAGACCCCAUGGAGCUUUAAACCUCACAGCAACUCUAAUAUUUAAUUCCUCAUAAUUUACAGGGCAGUGCACGUCGGUUUUAGGUUGGGGCGACCGCGGAGUAAAAAUUAACCUCCACAACGAAAAGAACUAAAUCUUUAUUUAAGAGCAACUACUCUAAAAAUUAGCAUACUAACGAACAAUGAUCCGAUUAUCGAUCAACGGACCAAGUUACCCUGGGGAUAACAGCGCAAUCUACUUCAAGAGCCCAUAUCAACAAGUAGGCUUACGACCUCGAUGUUGGAUCAGGGUAUCCCGGUGGUGCAGCCGCUACUAAUGGUUCGUUUGUUCAACGAUUAAAACCCUACGUGAUCUGA